Molecule: ribosomal RNA, 1501 nt
Filed under: uncultured Campylobacterota bacterium
Lineage: Bacteria; Pseudomonadati; Campylobacterota
Description: bacterial SSU rRNA
Rfam family: Bacterial small subunit ribosomal RNA
Source: RNAcentral
AGAGUUUGAUCAUGGCUCAGGAUGAACGCUGGCGGCAGGCCUAAUACAUGCAAGUCGAACGGGAUCUUGAGUAGCAAUACUUGAGUGAGAGUGGCGCACGGGUGCGUAACACGUAUGCAACCUACCUUUAACUGGUACAUAACAUUUCGAAAGGGGUGCUAAUAUACCAUGUGAUUAUUGAGAGGCAUCUUUUGAUAAUUAAAGAUUAAUUGGUUAAAGCUGGGCAUGCGUCCCAUUAGCUAGUUGGAGAGGUAACGGCUCCCCAAGGCGACGAUGGGUAGGGGUUCUGAGAGGAUGAUCCCCCACACUGGUACUGAGACACGGACCAGACUCCUACGGGAGGCAGCAGUAAGGAAUAUUGGUCAAUGGGCGGAAGCCUGAACCAGCCAUGCCGCGUGCAGGAAGACGGCCCUAUGGGUUGUAAACUGCUUUUGUCAGGGGAUAAACCUAUCUACGUGUAGAUAGCUGAAGGUACCUGAAGAAUAAGGAUCGGCUAACUCCGUGCCAGCAGCCGCGGUAAUACGGAGGGUGCAAGCGUUACUCGGAAUCACUGGGCGUAAAGCGCGCGCAGGCGGCCCCUUAAGUUGGAAGUGAAAUCCUAUGGCUCAACCAUAGAACUGCUUCCAAAACUGGGGGGCUAGAGUCUGGGAGGGGAAGAUGGAAUUAGUGGUGUAGGGGUAAAAUCCGUAGAGAUCACUAGGAAUACCAAAAGCGAAGGCGAUCUUCUGGAACAGUACUGACGCUGAGGCGCGAAAGCGUGGGGAGCAAACAGGAUUAGAUACCCUGGUAGUCCACGCCCUAAACGAUGAAUGUUAGUCGUCGGAUAGCACGUCUAUUCGGUGAUGCAGUUAACACGUUAAACAUUCCGCCUGGGGAGUACGGUCGCAAGAUUAAAACUCAAAGGAAUAGACGGGGACCCGCACAAGUGGUGGAGCAUGUGGUUUAAUUCGAAGAUACGCGAAGAACCUUACCUGGCCUUGACAUUGAUAGAAUCUGCUAGAGAUAGCGGAGUGCCCUUCGGGGAGCUUGAAAACAGGUGCUGCACGGCUGUCGUCAGCUCGUGUCGUGAGAUGUUGGGUUAAGUCCCGCAACGAGCGCAACCCUCGUGAUUAGUUACUAACGGUUCGGCCGAGGACUCUAAUCAGACUGCCUUCGUAAGGAGGAGGAAGGUGAGGACGACGUCAAGUCAUCAUGGCCCUUACGGCCAGGGCGACACACGUGCUACAAUGGGUAGGACAAUGAGACGCAAUACCGCGAGGUGGAGCAAAUCUAUAAACCUACUCUCAGUUCGGAUUGUAGUCUGCAACUCGACUACAUGAAGCUGGAAUCACUAGUAAUCGUAGAUCAGCCAUGCUACGGUGAAUACGUUCCCGGGUCUUGUACUCACCGCCCGUCACACCAUGGGAGUUGAUUUCACCCGAAGCGGGGAAGCUAAACUGGCUACCCUCCACGGUGGAAUCAGCGACUGGGGUGAAGUCGUAACAAGGUAACCAAGGGCGAA